Dendrobium catenatum is the source of this 1108-nucleotide RNA transcript. It is a transcript of the gene named protein PLASTID REDOX INSENSITIVE 2, chloroplastic, with no coding region annotated. Lineage: Eukaryota; Viridiplantae; Streptophyta; Magnoliopsida; Asparagales; Orchidaceae. The transcript is spliced from 4 exons. The record is from RefSeq and is a predicted model, not a curated record.
CUAAUAAAAAUCCAAGUUACUUCUUGCUCUCGUUUGAGCAAGGAACUUUUUUUUGAAGAUAAUGAUGGCGUGCCAAAGCCCUCUGUCUACCUCUUACCGAUUUUCUUGCGCCUGUAAAUCUUAUCACUCUGCGGUUCCUUCUACCCCUUCUCCCCUUCUUUCUCGGCACACUGUCUUCUCCUGCUCCCGGGUUUUCUCGCCACCCUCUGACCGCUCAUCCAACGUCUCUCUCACUUUGAAACUUGGUCACUCUUAUCCUCAUAGGACAUCAAAAGCACCACUCUCCUCUGCUCGCAUCCCCUUCAAGGCAGUGGAAUACGUUUUUCCUGAUCCAAUUCCCGAAUUUGCGGAAGCUGUGAGUUGCAGUCCUCUUUUUUGCUCUGCGGAGACGAGUAAGUUUAGGGCUCAUCUUCUCGAGAGGUUGUCGAAGAAGGAUAUAUUUGACGAUUCUCUGGAAGAAAUAGUGCGUAUCUGUACAGAGAUAUUGAGCAACUUUUUGCAUACUGAAUAUGGUGGUCCUGGGACUCUCCUUGUCGUCCCCUUCAUCGACAUGGCUGAUACUAUCAAUGAAAGAGGACUACCUGGAGGACCUCAAGCCGCACGUGCGGCAGUCUUAUGGGCACAAAAGCAUAUUGAUAAAGACUGGAAAGAUUGGACUGGAGAUCCCAAUCUCUGAAUAAAGUUUUCUCUUUUGCGGAGGUGGGGGAAAAUGAAUUAAGUUUUUCAACUGAGAUUGGUAUUUGGGGCAAGGAUGAAUAUAUUGCAUCCCUCAUUCCCUACAUGGCGGCUCUUAGCAACAUUAACUUUAUAUGACGGCAGUCCACAACCUGGGAAUCUGGUGGCUUUGUGGAUGCAAUUUCCCAUUUUUGAGCCUUAUGGUGAAUUUUGGUGGCUUCUGCCGUCAUUUGCUUUCUCUGCUGCUGUGUUAUUUUCGGUUCAUCUUUUGCCCGGUGUAUAUUUUUACACUUUUUUUAUGAGCUUUUGCUCAUUGUUCUUUCCUAUAGUUUUUUAGUUCUAUACUUUUGUUUUUGAUUGUUUACUCAAUCUCUCACUUGUAAUUAUUUUCUUAUAAAUGGAAGUUGAGCUCAGCCCUUAAUUAAAAAAAAAA